Molecule: ribosomal RNA, 1413 nt
Filed under: uncultured organism
Description: SSU rRNA
Rfam family: Bacterial small subunit ribosomal RNA
Source: RNAcentral
AACACAUGCGAGUCGAACGGCACCCCUCUCCGGAGGGAAGCGAGUGGCGAACGGCUGAGUAGCACGUGGAGAACCUGCCCCCUCCCCCGGGAUAGCCGCCCGAAAGGACGGGUAAUACCGGAUACCCCGGGGUGCCGCAUGACGCCCCGGCUAAAGCCCCGACGGGAGGGGAUGGCUCCGCGGCCCAUCAGGUAGACGGCGGGGUGACGGCCCACCGUGCCGACAACGGGUAGCCGGGUUGAGAGACCGACCGGCCAGAUUGGGACUGAGACACGGCCCAAACUCCUACGGGAGGCAGCAGUGGGGAAUCUUGCGCAAUGGGGGGAACCCUGACGCAGCGACGCCGCGUGCGGGACGGAGGCCUUCGGGUCGUAAACCGCUUUCACCAGGGAAUAGUCAAGACUGUACCUGCAGAAGAAGCCCCGGCUAACUACGUGCCAGCAGCCGCGGUAAUACGUAGGGGGCGAGCGUUAUCCGGAUUCGUUGGGCGUAGAGCGCGCGUAUGCGGCCCGGCAGGCCGGGGGUCGAAGCGGGGGGCUCAGCCCCCCGAAGCCCCCGGAACCUCCGCGGCUUGUGUCCGGUAGGGGAGGGUGGAACACCCGGUGUAGCGGUGGAAUGCGCAGAUAUCGGGUGGAACACCGGUGGCGAAGGCGUCCCUCUGGGCCGAGACCGACGCUGAGGCGCGAAAGCUGGAGGAGCGAACAGGAUUAGAUACCCUGGUAGUACACGCCGUAAACGAUGUCGACUUGGAGGUUGUGCCCUUGAGGCGUGGCUUCCGGAGAUAACGCGUUAAGUCGACCGCCUGGGGAGUACGACCGCAAGGUUAAAACUCAAAUGAAUUGACGGGGGCCCGCACAAGCGGUGGAGCAUGUGGUUUAAUUCGAUGCAACGCGAAGAACCUUACCUGGUCUUGACAUCCACGGAAGUUUUCAGAGAUGAGAAUGUGCCUUCGGGAACCGUGAGACAGGUGCUGCAUGGCUGUCGUCAGCUCGUGUUGUGAAAUGUUGGGUUAAGUCCCGCAACGAGCGCAACCCUUAUCUUUUGUUGCCAGCGGUCCGGCCGGGAACUCAAAGGAGACUGCCAGUGAUAAACUGGAGGAAGGUGGGGAUGACGUCAAGUCAUCAUGGCCCUUACGACCAGGGCUACACACGUGUUACAAUGGCGCAUACAAAGAGAAGCGACCUCGCGAGAGCAAGCGGACCUCAUAAAGUGCGUCGUAGUCCGGAUUGGAGUCUGCAACUCGACUCCAUGAAGUCGGAAUCGCUAGUAAUCGUGGAUCAGAAUGCCACGGUGAAUACGUUCCCGGGCCUUGUACACACCGCCCGUCACACCAUGGGAGUGGGUUGCAAAAGAAGUAGGUAGCUUAACCUUCGGGAGGGCGCUUACCACUUUGUGAUUCAUGACUGGGGUGAA